RNAcentral lists this long non-coding RNA (909 nucleotides) under Nicotiana benthamiana. Its description in RNAcentral is "long non-coding RNA (NBEN_LNC039506)". The record is from RNAcentral. Lineage: Eukaryota; Viridiplantae; Streptophyta; Magnoliopsida; Solanales; Solanaceae.
UGAAGAGGCCACUGGAGAUUGGUAAAUUGGAUGAUGGUCUCUACAGACUUGUGCAAUCUUCUUCUCUUCAAUCUCUUGAUCCUUGUAAAUACCAUUCUCCAUUAACUGUUCAUUUUGUUUCUUCCUAUCAUUGUACAUACCAUUCUGAAUUGAAUAAAAUGGAGAUGUUAUGGCAUAAUAGACUAGGGCACAUACCUUUUGUUAGAAUGAAAGACAUGUCUGAAUUGAAUAAAAUGGAGAUGUUAUGGAAUAAUAGACUGAGGCACAUACCUUUUGUUAUAAUGAAAGACAUGUCUUAUAUACCAUGUAAAUUUUCAACAAAGCAGCCUUUCCUUUGUACUAUAUGUCCUUGGCCAGGCAAUCUAGACUACCCUUUCCUAACAGUUCCAUUAAAACAACACAUGCUUUUCAACUCAUCCAUGUUGAUACAUGGGGUCCCUAUACCACUCCUACUCAUAAUGGUUGUACAUAUUUUCUAACAAUAGUUGAUGAUUUUACCAGAGCUACUUGGACCCACCUUAUGGGGUCCAAGACCAAUGCCUUUCCCCUUAUCAAAGCCUUCAUUGCCAUGAGUUUUGCCAUGAUUAAAACUCAAAUCCAGUCUGUGGUACAAACCAUUAGGAGUGACAAUGCCUUUGAACUUGGCUCUAGUAGCUGUGGCAACAACUUCUUUGCUUAAAAUGGCAUAAUGCAUCAAACUUCCUGCUCUCACACACCACAACAAAAUGGUGUAGUUUAGAGAAAGCAUAGAUAUCUGCUAGAAACCUCAAGAGCUCUACUUUUUCAUUCCCAGCUACCCAUUAGAUUUUGGGGAGAUUGUGUGCUUACUGCAACCUACCUCAUUAACAGGUUUCCUUCCAAACUUCUUAACAAUAAAUCCCCUAUUGAGUUGUUGUUUGGACAUGUUCC